GCAGCCGCCGCGGUAAUACGUAGGGGGCGAGCGUUGUCCGGAUUUAUUGGGCGUAAAGGGCGCGUAGGCGGCUUGUUAAGUCUGGUGUGAAAGCCCGAGGCUCAACCUCGGUAAGCACUGGAAACUGGCGAGCUUGAGUACUGGAGAGGGUCGUGGAAUUCCCAGUGUAGCAGUGAAAUGCGUAGAGAUUGGGAGGAACACCAGUGGCGAAGGCGGCGACCUGGACAGAUACUGACGCUGAGGCGCGAAAGCUGGGGGAGCAAACGGGAUUAGAUACCCCGGUAGUCCCAGCCGUAAACGAUGGAUACUAGGUGUAGGAGGUAUCGACCCCUUCUGUGCCGCAGCUAACGCAAUAAGUAUCCCGCCUGGGGAGUACGGCCGCAAGGUUGAAACUCAAAGGAAUUGACGGGGGCCCGCACAAGA
RNAcentral lists this ribosomal RNA (423 nucleotides) under uncultured bacterium. Its description in RNAcentral is "bacterial SSU rRNA". It matches the Rfam family "Bacterial small subunit ribosomal RNA", at positions 508 to 930 of the family's 1533-position model. The record is from RNAcentral.